GCCGGCGUAGCUCAGACGGCAGAGCGCCUCACUUGUAAUGAGGAUGUCGGGGGUUCGAUUCCUCUCGCCGGCUCCA
This 76-nucleotide transfer RNA is filed under the name Candidatus Omnitrophota bacterium. Its description in RNAcentral is "Candidatus Omnitrophica bacterium tRNA-Thr". It matches the Rfam family "tRNA". From Rfam's summary of the family: Transfer RNA (tRNA) molecules are approximately 80 nucleotides in length. Lineage: Bacteria; Pseudomonadati; Candidatus Omnitrophota. The record is from RNAcentral.